GACGAACGCUGGCGGCGUGCUUAACACAUGCAAGUCGAACGGAAAGGCCCUGCUUUUGUGGGGUGCUCGAGUGGCGAACGGGUGAGUAACACGUGAGUAACCUGCCCUUGACUUUGGGAUAACUUCAGGAAACUGGGGCUAAUACCGGAUAGGAGCUCCUGCUGCAUGGUGGGGGUUGGAAAGUUUCGGCGGUUGGGGAUGGACUCGCGGCUUAUCAGCUUGUUGGUGGGGUAGUGGCUUACCAAGGCUUUGACGGGUAGCCGGCCUGAGAGGGUGACCGGCCACAUGGGGACUGAGAUACGGCCCGGACUCCUACGGGAGGCAGCGGUGGGGAAUAUUGAACAAGGGGCGGAAGCCUGAUGCAGCAACGCCGGGUGGGGGAUGAGGGCCUUCGGGUGGUAAACCGCUUUCGCCUGGGACGAGGCGGGAGUGAGGGGAAUGGGUAAGGAAGCACCGGUUAAUUACGU
RNAcentral lists this ribosomal RNA (467 nucleotides) under uncultured bacterium. RNAcentral's name for it is "partial 16S ribosomal RNA". It matches the Rfam family "Bacterial small subunit ribosomal RNA", at positions 28 to 506 of the family's 1533-position model. The record is from RNAcentral.